CCUUGUUUUUGGAGUAAAACAUGGUGGAAGCUGAAUUAGUGAGGAUGACUCCUGCCAUCUCUAAACUCCUCACACAUCUUUACCUGCACAUACUUGAAUUUUCUGACCCAAGAGCCGAUGUAACUAUAAAGACACUUUCUCUACUAACUUAUUAUAGUAAUCCACAGCUGUCACUGCAUUGGUGGUGGACCUGCCAAACAACAAUGCCUGCUGUGAUGACAAUGCCACCAUCCCUCCUCUCUCCUGCAGGAAACCCUAACGCACUUCAGCUGCUGCUUCCUUCUCCACCGCUACACACCCGAAAAUAAAAAACAAACACAUGACUACAAU
Long non-coding RNA from Amphiprion ocellaris (clown anemonefish), 330 nucleotides. NCBI's taxonomy places the organism in Eukaryota, Metazoa, Chordata, Actinopteri, Pomacentridae. The record is from Ensembl.